RNAcentral lists this ribosomal RNA (301 nucleotides) under uncultured bacterium. Its description in RNAcentral is "partial 16S ribosomal RNA". It matches the Rfam family "Bacterial small subunit ribosomal RNA", at positions 509 to 807 of the family's 1533-position model. The record is from RNAcentral.
CAGCAGCCGCGGGAAUACGUAGGUGGCAAGCGUUGUCCGGAAUUAUUGGGCGUAAAGGGCUCGCAGGCGGUUUCUUAAGUCUGAUGUGAAAGCCCCCGGCUCAACCGGGGAGAGUCAUUGGAAACUGGGAAACUUGAGUGCAGAAGAGGAGAGUGGAAUUCCACGUGUAGCGGUGAAAUGCGUAGAGAUGUGGAGGAACACCAGUGGCGAAGGCGACUCUCUGGUCUGUAACUGACGCUGAGGAGCGAAAGCGUGGGGAGCGAACAGGAUUAGAUACCCCCGUAGUCCCUGUCUCUUAUAC